Molecule: ribosomal RNA, 253 nt
Filed under: uncultured bacterium
Lineage: Bacteria
Description: partial 16S ribosomal RNA
Rfam family: Bacterial small subunit ribosomal RNA
Source: RNAcentral
UACGUAGGGGGCAAGCGUUGUCCGGACUUACUGGGCGUAAAGCGCGCGCAGGCGGAUGGGUAUGUGCCGUGUGAAAGCGCCGUCCUUACGAUGGCGAGGUCAUGGUAGACAGCCCGUCUGGAGGCUCGAAGAGGUCGGUGGAAUUCCGGGUGGAGCGGUGAAAUGCGUAGAGAUCAGGCGGAACACCCGUGGCGAAGGCGGCCAGCUGGGCCGUCCCUGACGCUGAGGCGCGAAGGCGUGGGGAGCGAACGGG